RNAcentral lists this ribosomal RNA (420 nucleotides) under uncultured organism. RNAcentral's name for it is "bacterial SSU rRNA". It matches the Rfam family "Bacterial small subunit ribosomal RNA", at positions 346 to 762 of the family's 1533-position model. The record is from RNAcentral.
GCGCACCAGGCGCGAAUCUUCGGCAAUGGGGGAAACCCUGACCGAGCGACGCCGCGUGUGGGAUGAAGGCCCUUGGGUUGUAAACCACUGUCAGAGGGGAUGAAAUGCCGGAAAGUUAUCUCUCCGGUUUGACAUAGCCUCAGAGGAAGCACGGGCUAAGUUCGUGCCAGCAGCCGCGGUAAGAUGAACUGUGCAAACGUUAUUCGGAAUCACUGGGCUUGAAGAGUGCGUAGGCGGUUUCGUAAGUAGGGUGUGAAAGCCCCCGGCUCAACCGGGGAAUUGCGUCCUAAACUGCGAGGCUGGAGUGAGGUAGGGUGUGUGGAACUUCCAGUGGAGCGGUGAAAUGUGUUGAUAUUGGAAGGAACGCCGGUGGCGAAAGCGACACACUGGACCUUGUCUGACGCUGAGGCACGAAAGCCA